GGUUAAGCGACUAAGCGUACACGGUGGAUGCCCUGGCAGUCAGAGGCGAUGAAGGACGUGCUAAUCUGCGAAAAGCGUCGGUAAGGUGAUAUGAACCGUUAUAACCGGCGAUGUCCGAAUGGGGAAACCCAGUGCAAUUCGUUGCACUAUCGUUAACUGAAUACAUAGGUUAACGAGGCGAACCGGGGGAACUGAAACAUCUAAGUACCCCGAGGAAAAGAAAUCAACCGAGAUUCCCCCAGUAGCGGCGAGCGAACGGGGAGCAGCCCAGAGUCUGAAUCAGCUUGUGUGUUAGUGGAACGGUCUGGAAAGUCCGACGGUACAGGGUGAUAGUCCCGUACACCAAAAUGCACAGGUUGUGAACUCGAAGAGUAGGGCGGGACACGUGGUAUCCUGUCUGAAUAUGGGGGGACCAUCCUCCAAGGCUAAAUACUCCUGACUGACCGAUAGUGAACCAGUACCGUGAGGGAAAGGCGAAAAGAACCCCGGCGAGGGGAGUGAAAAAGAACCUGAAACCGUGUACGUACAAGCAGUGGGAGCACCUUCGGGUGUGACUGCGUACCUUUUGUAUAAUGGGUCAGCGACUUAUAUUCUGUAGCAAGGUUAACCGUAUAGGGGAGCCGCAGGGAAACCGAGUCUUAACUGGGCGUUAAGUUGCAGGGUAUAGACCCGAAACCCGGUGAUCUAGCCAUGGGCAGGUUGAAGGUUGGGUAACACUAACUGGAGGACCGAACCGACUAAUGUUGAAAAAUUAGCGGAUGACUUGUGGCUGGGGGUGAAAGGCCAAUCAAACCGGGAGAUAGCUGGUUCUCCCCGAAAGCUAUUUAGGUAGCGCCUCGUGAACUCAUCUUCGGGGGUAGAGCACUGUUUCGGCUAGGGGGUCAUCCCGACUUACCAACCCGAUGCAAACUACGAAUACCGAAGAAUGUUAUCACGGGAGACACACGGCGGGUGCUAACGUCCGUCGUGAAGAGGGAAACAACCCAGACCGCCAGCUAAGGUCCCAAAGUCAUGGUUAAGUGGGAAACGAUGUGGGAAGGCACAGACAGCCAGGAUGUUGGCUUAGAAGCAGCCAUCAUUUAAAGAAAGCGUAAUAGCUCACUGGUCGAGUCGGCCUGCGCGGAAGAUGUAACGGGGCUAAACCAUGCACCGAAGCUGCGGCAGCGACACUAUGUGUUGUUGGGUAGGGGAGCGUUCUGUAAGCCUGCGAAGGUGUGCUGUGAGGCAUGCUGGAGGUAUCAGAAGUGCGAAUGCUGACAUAAGUAACGAUAAAGCGGGUGAAAAGCCCGCUCGCCGGAAGACCAAGGGUUCCUGUCCAACGUUAAUCGGGGCAGGGUGAGUCGACCCCUAAGGCGAGGCCGAAAGGCGUAGUCGAUGGGAAACAGGUUAAUAUUCCUGUACUUGGUGUUACUGCGAAGGGGGGACGGAGAAGGCUAUGUUAGCCGGGCGACGGUUGUCCCGGUUUAAGCAUGUAGGCUGAUUGUCCAGGCAAAUCCGGAUAAUCAAGGCUGAGGUGUGAUGACGAGGCACUACGGUGCUGAAGUAACAAAUGCCCUGCUUCCAGGAAAAGCCUCUAAGCAUCAGGUAACAUCAAAUCGUACCCCAAACCGACACAGGUGGUCAGGUAGAGAAUACCAAGGCGCUUGAGAGAACUCGGGUGAAGGAACUAGGCAAAAUGGUGCCGUAACUUCGGGAGAAGGCACGCUGGUGUGUAGGUGAAGUCCCUGCGGAUGGAGCUGAGACCAGUCGAAGAUACCAGCUGGCUGCAACUGUUUAUUAAAAACACAGCACUGUGCAAACACGAAAGUGGACGUAUACGGUGUGACGCCUGCCCGGUGCCGGAAGGUUAAUUGAUGGGGUUAUCCGUAAGGAGAAGCUCUUGAUCGAAGCCCCGGUAAACGGCGGCCGUAACUAUAACGGUCCUAAGGUAGCGAAAUUCCUUGUCGGGUAAGUUCCGACCUGCACGAAUGGCGUAAUGAUGGCCAGGCUGUCUCCACCCGAGACUCAGUGAAAUUGAACUCGCUGUGAAGAUGCAGUGUACCCGCGGCAAGACGGAAAGACCCCGUGAACCUUUACUAUAGCUUGACACUGAACAUUGAGCCUUGAUGUGUAGGAUAGGUGGGAGGCUUUGAAGCGUGGACGCCAGUCUGCGUGGAGCCAACCUUGAAAUACCACCCUUUAAUGUUUGAUGUUCUAACGUUGGCCCCUGACCGGGGUUGCGGACAGUGUCUGGUGGGUAGUUUGACUGGGGCGGUCUCCUCCCAAAGCGUAACGGAGGAGCACGAAGGUUAGCUAAUCCUGGUCGGACAUCAGGAGGUUAGUGCAAUGGCAUAAGCUAGCUUGACUGCGAGCGUGACGGCGCGAGCAGGUGCGAAAGCAGGUCAUAGUGAUCCGGUGGUUCUGAAUGGAAGGGCCAUCGCUCAACGGAUAAAAGGUACUCCGGGGAUAACAGGCUGAUACCGCCCAAGAGUUCAUAUCGACGGCGGUGUUUGGCACCUCGAUGUCGGCUCAUCACAUCCUGGGGCUGAAGUAGGUCCCAAGGGUAUGGCUGUUCGCCAUUUAAAGUGGUACGCGAGCUGGGUUUAGAACGUCGUGAGACAGUUCGGUCCCUAUCUGCCGUGGGCGCUGGAGAAUUGAGGGGGGCUGCUCCUAGUACGAGAGGACCGGAGUGGACGCAUCACUGGUGUUCGGGUUGUCAUGCCAAUGGCACUGCCCGGUAGCUAAAUGCGGAAGAGAUAAGUGCUGAAAGCAUCUAAGCACGAAACUUGCCCCGAGAUGAGUUCUCCCUGAGACUAUAAGUCUCCUGAAGGAACGUUGAAGACGACGACGUUGAUAGGCCGGGUGUGUAAGCGCAGCGAUGCGUUGAGCUAACCGGUACUAAUGAACCGUGAGGCUUAACCUU
RNAcentral lists this ribosomal RNA (2902 nucleotides) under Klebsiella pneumoniae. Its description in RNAcentral is "23S ribosomal RNA". It matches the Rfam family "Bacterial large subunit ribosomal RNA". The record is from RNAcentral. Lineage: Bacteria; Pseudomonadati; Pseudomonadota; Gammaproteobacteria; Enterobacterales; Enterobacteriaceae.